GAACCUGCGGAAGGAUCAUUACCGAGUUUUCGAGCUCCGGCUCGACUCUCCCACCCUUUGUGAACGUACCUCUGUUGCUUUGGCGGCUCCGGCCGCCAAAGGACCUUCAAACUCCAGUCAGUAAACGCAGACGUCUGAUAAACAAGUUAAUAAACUAAAACUUUCAACAACGGAUCUCUUGGUUCUGGCAUCGAUGAAGAACGCAGCGAAAUGCGAUAAGUAAUGUGAAUUGCAGAAUUCAGUGAAUCAUCGAAUCUUUGAACGCACAUUGCGCCCCUUGGUAUUCCGGGGGGCAUGCCUGUUCGAGCGUCAUUACAACCCUCAAGCUCUGCUUGGAAUUGGGCACCGUCCUCACUGCGGACGCGCCUCAAAGACCUCGGCGGUGGCUGUUCAGCCCUCAAGCGUAGUAGAAUACACCUCGCUUUGGAGCGGUUGGCGUCGCCCGCCGGACGAACCUUCUGAACUUUUCUCAAGGUUGACCUCGGAUCAGGUAGGGAUACCCGCUGAACUUAAGCAUAUCAAUAG
RNAcentral lists this ribosomal RNA (525 nucleotides) under Lasiodiplodia theobromae. RNAcentral describes it as "eukaryotic LSU rRNA". The stretch from base 159 to 312 matches the Rfam family "5.8S ribosomal RNA". Lineage: Eukaryota; Fungi; Ascomycota; Dothideomycetes; Botryosphaeriales; Botryosphaeriaceae. The record is from RNAcentral.